GAGUCAGCCCCACCCAGCAGUGCGGGCUGUCCCUCUUCUCAGCCUAACUGCUGCUUCUUCCAUGAAACAGCAGGUGUGGGUGGUCGUGGUCAACAUGUGGACAACUGGGGCUGGCUCUGUGCCAGGCGCUGGAGCGGACGCUUCCCAAGAAUCUUUUCCUGUAAUGCUGUCCCCGGCCCUCUGCGAACUAGCUGGACAGCUGCCGGGCCAGGGCCUCCAGGCUGGACGUUUCCGCGGUCACACAGGACUGCCUCCAGAGCCAGGGCGAGACGUGGAGCGGGCAGGACGAGGGGCACCUGGAGCCAACCAGCCCUCCCCCUGCAUUUUGUGAACUGGCCCGGGCCUGGCGGCUGGUGGCAAGAAACUCUGAGAACGUGUUCAGAACCAUGGCUUGAACCCGGCUGGUAAUGGGAGGCCCGAUGUCUUGCACCGAAUCUAUGGUUCCUUUCAACAGCUGUCGGUCAAAGCAAAUGGACUCUCGGGGGACAGGGACAGACCGCUGGGAGGAUGCGACUCCCCGACUCUGCGCCUUUCCCAGCUGCCCCCACACC
Long non-coding RNA from Bos taurus (domestic cattle), 551 nucleotides. Lineage: Eukaryota; Metazoa; Chordata; Mammalia; Artiodactyla; Bovidae. The record is from Ensembl.